UCCAGGACCAUGAUUGAGGACCCCUGUUCAAAGGGUGACAACAAAUCCUCAAACAGUCCUCAUGCAGCAGGAAGACACCAGACAGUGCAUGCACCCAAAACAGGAGACGAUCUAGGACAAAAGAAGAAUCCACAGGAAGCAAAAUGGUUCAGGUAUAAAGACACACACUUGACCUAGAGGCAGAGAAGAGAAUGAAGAGAAAACUGAUAGCUAUUAUGACAGUGCUACACAACCUCUU
This is a long non-coding RNA of Polypterus senegalus (gray bichir), 238 nucleotides long. RefSeq lists it as uncharacterized. The record is from RefSeq and is a predicted model, not a curated record. NCBI's taxonomy places the organism in Eukaryota, Metazoa, Chordata, Cladistia, Polypteriformes, Polypteridae. The transcript is spliced from 3 exons.